ACGCUGGCGGCAGGCCUAACACAUGCAAGUCGAGCGGUAGAGAGAAGCUUGCUUCUCUUGAGAGCGGCGGACGGGUGAGUAAUGCCUAGGAAUCUGCCUGGUAGUGGGGGAUAACGUCCGGAAACGGACGCUAAUACCGCAUACGUCCUACGGGAGAAAGCAGGGGACCUUCGGGCCUUGCGCUAUCAGAUGAGCCUAGGUCGGAUUAGCUAGUUGGUGGGGUAAUGGCUCACCAAGGCGACGAUCCGUAACUGGUCUGAGAGGAUGAUCAGUCACACUGGAACUGAGACACGGUCCAGACUCCUACGGGAGGCAGCAGUGGGGAAUAUUGGACAAUGGGCGAAAGCCUGAUCCAGCCAUGCCGCGUGUGUGAAGAAGGUCUUCGGAUUGUAAAGCACUUUAAGUUGGGAGGAAGGCCAGUAAAUUAAUACUUUGCUGUUUUGACGUUACCGACAGAAUAAGCACCGGCUAACUCUGUGCCAGCAGCCGCGGUAAUACAGAGGGUGCAAGCGUUAAUCGGAAUUACUGGGCGUAAAGCGCGCGUAGGUGGGUUCGUUAAGUUGGAUGUGAAAUCCCCGGGCUCAACCUGGGAACUGCAUUCAAAACUGACGAGCUAGAGUAUGGUAGAGGGUGGUGGAAUUUCCUGUGUAGCGGUGAAAUGCGUAGAUAUAGGAAGGAACACCAGUGGCGAAGGCGACCACCUGGACUGAUACUGACACUGAGGUGCGAAAGCGUGGGGAGCAAAC
RNAcentral lists this ribosomal RNA (746 nucleotides) under uncultured bacterium. RNAcentral describes it as "bacterial SSU rRNA". It matches the Rfam family "Bacterial small subunit ribosomal RNA", at positions 33 to 773 of the family's 1533-position model. The record is from RNAcentral.